CUACGGGAGGCAGCAGUGGGGAAUAUUGGACAAUGGGCGCAAGCCUGAUCCAGCAAUGCCGCGUGAGUGAUGAAGGCCCUCGGGUCGUAAAGCUCUUUUACCAGGGAUGAUAAUGACAGUACCUGGAGAAUAAGCUCCGGCUAACUCCGUGCCAGCAGCCGCGGUAAUA
This 169-nucleotide ribosomal RNA is filed under the name uncultured Novosphingobium sp. RNAcentral describes it as "partial 16S ribosomal RNA". It matches the Rfam family "Bacterial small subunit ribosomal RNA", at positions 339 to 525 of the family's 1533-position model. The record is from RNAcentral. Lineage: Bacteria; Pseudomonadati; Pseudomonadota; Alphaproteobacteria; Sphingomonadales; Sphingomonadaceae.